RNAcentral lists this ribosomal RNA (467 nucleotides) under uncultured bacterium. RNAcentral describes it as "partial 16S ribosomal RNA". It matches the Rfam family "Bacterial small subunit ribosomal RNA", at positions 28 to 507 of the family's 1533-position model. The record is from RNAcentral.
GACGAACGCUGGCGGCGUGCUUAACACAUGCAAGUCGAACGGAAAGGCCUCUUUCGGGGGGUACUCGAGUGGCGAACGGGUGAGUAACACGUGAGUAACCUGCCCUUGACUUUGGGAUAACUUCAGGAAACUGGGGCUAAUACCGGAUAGGAGCUCCUGCUGCAUGGUGGGGGUUGGAAAGUUUCGGCGGUUGGGGAUGGACUCGCGGCUUAUCAGCUUGUUGGUGGGGUAGUGGCUUACCAAGGCUUUGACGGGUAGCCGGCCUGAGAGGGUGACCGGCCACAUUGGGACUGAGAUACGGCGCAGACUCCUACGGGAGGCAGCAGUGGGGAAUAUUGCACAAUGGGUGGAAGCCUGAUGCAGCAACGCCGUGUGCGGGAUGACGGCCUUCGGGUUGUAAACCGCUUUCGCUCAUGACGAAGCUUUGUGUGACGGUAGUGGGUAAAGAAGCACCGGCUAACUACGUG